GAGUUUGAUCCUGGUUCAGGAUGAACGCUAGCGGCAGGCUUAAUACAUGCAAGUCGAACGGGAUUCGAGAUAGCAAUAUUUUGAUGAGAGUGGCGCACGGGUGCGUAACACGUAUGCAACCUACCUUUAACUGGUGAAUAGCCCCGGGAAAUCGGGAUUAAUACACCAUAACAUUACGGAAUGGCAUCAUUCUGCAAUUAAAGAUUUUCGGUUAGAGAUGGGCAUGCGGGACAUUAGCUUGUUGGUGAGGUAACGGCUCACCAAGGCAACGAUGUCUAGGGGUCCUGAGAGGGUUUUCCCCCACACUGGUACUGAGACACGGACCAGACUCCUACGGGAGGCAGCAGUAAGGAAUAUUGGUCAAUGGGCGCAAGCCUGAACCAGCCAUGCCGCGUGCAGGAAGACGGCCCUAUGGGUUGUAAACUGCUUUUGUCAGGGAAUAAAUGUAGAUACGUGUAUUUACUUGAAGGUACCUGAAGAAUAAAGCACCGGCUAACUCCGUGCCAGCAGCCCG
Molecule: ribosomal RNA, 514 nt
Filed under: uncultured Bacteroidota bacterium
Lineage: Bacteria; Pseudomonadati; Bacteroidota
Description: bacterial SSU rRNA
Rfam family: Bacterial small subunit ribosomal RNA
Source: RNAcentral